UUUUCUUUCUUUUUCUCAAUAGGAGAUACCAAAGAGGUUUCUGCAGAGACAUGGUAGUGACCUCGCUGGCUCAGUGUUUCUCAAGGUUCCAAGAAGUACAAUACUUUGGCCAGUGGAGAUGGAGUGGAGUGAUGGCAUGGCUCGGCUUGGCCUAGGCUGGCAGAAGUUCACAGACUAUUACUCCAUUGGUUUUGGCCAAUUACUAGUUUUCAGAUACGAACCAAGCUCCAUCUUUCAUGUUGUGAUCUUUGACACGAGCGCUUCAGAGAUUGAAUAUCCUACGGAUCCUGUGAUCAUGGACAAAUCAGAACCGGAAUGUGAAUUUAUUCUGCUCAAGAAGGAAGAAACUGAUAAUAUCUCAGCCAAAAUCUCAGAGGAUUGUCGGCCUAGCCCAAAAUUUAGGAAAAAAUCAAAGUCAGCAUUGGCUUCUAAGGUGAACUCUGGUAUGGGUAGUGAAAAUGAUGAUUAUUCCUAUGAACACCAAUUUCCCAAUAACAUUUGAGUCAGUUCAUUGACUCAUAUCCUUUCUGAUAUAUCAUCUAAUUUUGGAUUUUAAGAUGAAAUAUUUUUCUUUUUAUUAAUUAUGUACAGGCAUGAUCAGAAAUUCUGCAAGCAGAGCAAGCCCUGCUACACCGGUUGCUCGUACAUGUAAUGUGCCAUGUCCUGCUGCUCUUGAAAUGGCACGAGACUUCAAAUCGAACCAUCCCAUGUUCAUACUCGUGGUGUACCCUAGUUAUAUUAAAGGUUCCACUCCGGUGAGAUUCUUGGUGACCUAGUUUCAUCAUUGGCAUCUCCAUAACUCUGAGAUGGCAUAGUUUCCUUAGUUCACGAAAACCUUGGAGUGUAGAUGUUUUGGAUUAUUAUUUUUCCCCAUCCUCCUACUUAGAAUGUUUAUGCCUUGACAUGAUCAUGGAAACAGAUUACUUUGAGAAGGCUAAUAUCAAAUAUUGGUUUAUAAAACAUUUACGCAGAGUGUAUCAUCCAAAUUUAUGCGGACACAUAUCAAGAGAAGCGUGCAGGUCGUGACACUUAAGCACAACAAGGAUUCAUGGCCGGUGAAGUUAAUCAAGCCUCCGGGGGACCAUGGAAAGUUAUCUCAAGGUUGGUUUGCGUUUGCAAGAGCAACUUCUCUGUGUGAAGGGGACGUUUGUGUGUUCGAACUAACUAAGCUGAGUCCCACUGUGCUUGAAGUGUCAAUCUUCAAGAAUUCUGAUUACACUUAGGAGUGGUUUACUGCCACCAUUACGCUUGGCAUCAUUUUAGAGAAUGAUAUCCGUAGUGUUAUCAGCUAGACAUACAACGUUACCAAGUUUUUCUUUCUUGUUUUUAGUGUCUUUUUGAUGACAGAUGGAUCUGUAAAUUGAAAUGUCCCGAGAACUGAGCUUUAGCGAUGGUGAAUGAAAGUGGUUGUAAAAUUUUCUAGUUACUCUUAUCUUCUUUAGUUGUUUCUUGUUUUUCUCCUAAGUUUGAUCAUACCUAAAAUACAAAAAUACAAUAUAGUGCUUUAGGGAUACAACCCUCAUAUCAUAUAAAACCUUGUAUUGAAAAUUACAAACUUUUCUCAAACUUUUAUAUUUUGAUUGCAAACUUUUCUCCAUUCAUCACUUUACAAAUGCCUUGAUAUGACUAACGGACCUAUGACAUCAAUUAGUUAAGCAUAAUCUAUACUAAUCCUUUUCUCAUUUUCUAGUAACUGAAUUUGAAGGCCUUCAUCAGGGCAUACCGAAGAGGUUUUCUGCAAAAGCAUGGUAAUGACCUCUCGAGCUUAGUGUUUCUUAAGGUUCCAGAUGGUGAAAUCUGGCCAGUACGGUUAGAAUAGAGUGAUGGCAGGCUUUUGGUUGGGAAAGGAUGACAAAAGUUCGUAGAUUAUUACUCUGUUGUUCUUGGCCAAUUGAUGCUCUUCAGAUACGAACAGAACUCCACCUUCCAAGCUGUAAUUUUUUAUACGAGUUCAUCAGAGAUUGAAUAUCCCAGAAAUCCCAUUACGGGUGAAAAAUCAAAAGCUGAAUGCGAAUUCUACUGUCCAGGAAGGAAGAAACUGAUGAUAUCUCGGUUAAAAUCUUGGAAGAUUGUUGGCUAAGCCGAGUCAUGAGUGAAAAACCGAAAUGGGCUUCUAGGAAGGCGAGUUCUGCUCUGGUUGGUGAAGGUACUAACAAUUCCCAAGAACACAUAAUAUUUACGCGCUCUCGAUCAGGAGGCAGAGAGUUCUCACGUUCAAAGAAGAACAAACCUCUGAUUUGUUCUUUAAAAAACUGUAAAGGUAGUGACUGUAAUCAAGAAUUAUCAGUUUCAUUCACGUCAUUUUCUUCACUCGAGUUCUAUUUUUGCAACCUUCCGAAAUUCUACUUCUUGCCUUCUUUGUUCUUUGGUUCUACUACAAUGUCCUCAAGAAGAGAUUUUGUAAUUGAAAGGCGGAUGUGCUGAGCUCUUAUCGGUCAAUUCAUGUGCUCAUUCAUCUAUGAAUUGUGGUACUGGUAUACAGUCUGUAAUUUUAGGAUAUGAUGGAUGUUCACCUUUCACAUGACCCAGCGAGACCUGCCUUGGGGUCUCGCUACCCAGGCAAUUGGUGGCCUAGGUUCACACAACCCUUUGUCUCACUUAGGCUAGAUUCUCAUUCGCAUGUUGUCGAGCACUAGACAGACCUUAUAGAUGCCGCCUUUGCCAUUGCCACCUCUCACUCUCUCUCUCUCAUUUACUUGUUGUCGAGCACUAGACGGACCUUAUUGAUGCCACCUUUGCCGUUGCCACCUCUCUCUCCUGUAAGAUGGGUGACAGGCGAGCUUCGGCGCGGCGACAGGCAGUGGCGCGGCGGUCAGAGGUGCGGAGGCGCGGGCGUCGGGCGGAGGUGCUCGCGGCUGUGGAGUUGCAGGGGGCGGGCCAUCGGGAGUGGCUGCUGCUGCAGAGGCUGAGUGUUGAGCGGAGGUGCGGACGUCGGUCGCCGGGCGGAGGGGACAGGCGCCGGCGACGGGUGAGCAGAGGCGGGGGCGUCGGGCGCCAGGCAGCGGGAGGCAGGACGACUGGUGGGCGUACCAGCAGCGACGACGAGCAAGCAGGGGUGCGGGACUCGGGCGGCUUCGGGCGCUGCAGAUCACGGGCGAAGGUGCUGCUGGUGUUCGCGGCUCCGGGUUGCUGCAGGUCGCGGGUUGCAGAAGCAGCGGUGGUGCUCGGGCGCCAGAGUCGGCAACGGCGGUGCUCGCGGCUGUGGCUGGAGGCGGAGGUGCCGGGCGUGGGCGAAGCUCCGGCAGCAACGGGCAACUGCAGAAGAGCAGAAGGCGCUGGAGAAGAAGACCUUUUUCCUUCUUUUUUUUUUUCUUUUUUUUCUUUUCCUUCCCUCUCACGUCCGCUCUCUCUUUCUCUCUCUAUACUUUGCUGUGGACUUUGCCCUUUUUGCUGACAGAUUAUCAGAAGAAAAGGAAAUGACUUCCUUUCUUUUGACUUUUGAAUGGACGAGAGAAACCACUGGGGUUCGCCCCAGUGGCCACCCUUCCAUAGAGGUGAGGGGUUCAAAUCCCCACCUUCUCAGGGGGAUGGGGAUAGGGACGCGUAAGUUUGAGAGUGGGUUGCGACUCCCACGCCCUGCAAGAGGCAGGGCACAAGUCCGCAAGUGAGUGUAGAGUAGGAAUAGAGUAGCACUGACAAAAAAAAAAAAAUGGACGAGAGAAAGUUUUUUUUUGCUUUUCUCUUUUUUCUCUCUUCUGCACUUUCUCACACUUGCUCUCCUUUUUCACGAAUUUCGCCCCCCUCUUCUUCUACGAAAUUAUGCCCCCUUUUAUAUUGAUUCCAAAAACCCCGGUUCAUGGCAAUUUUCGAGCUUUUUUUUCUCUAGUCCUUAUAUCGUCGUCUAUAAAUCGAAGCGUGAUUUCGCAACUAGUUUGAUUUUUCCUCAAAUGCUUUGAUUAAUUUCCUUUGAUCAAAUUUCUUGUUUUUUAUUCACCUGAUUUCCUAACUCUUAAUUGCUGAUCGAGAAUUUAUUUCCACAUUUAUUAAGAUUUGAAUAUUUUCCAAAGCAAAAGUGGCUAAUCAGAGUUUCCAACUUCCAUUCAUAAUCAAUUAGAUUGAUUUUUCCUUAUUUUUCUUUUAUUUGCUUUGAUGACCAAAAAUUAUAUGCUAUGCAAUUUUUAUUUUAUUUAUUUAUAUUUAUUUAUUUUCUUUUUUUAUGGCUUAAAAAUUAAUCUCUAAUUUUUUAUAAAUAAUUGACUGGAUCGCCAAAAUUUAAGUGUCCACAAACCUAUAUAUUUAUGUUGGUAGGAGAUGUAUUAUGAAAAAGCGAGAAAUAGAAAUCUAUAUCAUCUUCUAUCAUGUAAGCGGAUUUUGUAGUAUGCUUUUUAGCUGCUACUUAAGUUAUUUGGCUUCAUAACCUCAUUAGAAAGUUAACCGUCUUUGAUUUUGUGAGUAGGCCCAUACAAUUGUGUUGUGACAUAACUCUACAGUAUUGUUUAUUAACAACAAUAGAGGUCUCAAUGUAUAAGUACAUGGCAAUCAAGUUUUUGACCACAAAUGAGUUGGUACAAAAUAAUGAUAUUACAAUAGAUCAUGUUCUUAUAGAUGAUAUGGUUGCAGAUUUGCUAACUAAAUGCUUACGGCCUUGUGUGUUUAAGCGACAUGUUAUUAAUAUGGACUUAGGGGCAUCAUGUGAUGCCGUUAUUUAGUAGGAAUUGAUUUCAUUUUUUCCUCUAAUAAAGUUUAUAUCUGUGUUUGUCAUAUUUAAUGACAUUUUGAUAUGUAUCAACUUUUGCAAUCAAUAAAGUAUUUAUGAAUAUAUUGUUAUUAUGUUAAAUACAUAUUGAUAAAAAUCUUAAUGUAUUGUAUAAAUCUUGAGUGAAGGCUAAUGGUAUCCAUUUAUUAGUUUUGAGCAUAUAUCCUGUUAUACAUAAAAAAAAAAAAAAUGUCAAUCAUAAGGAUAAGACAUACGUUGGUUCAUUAGAAUCAUAAAGACAUUCUCUAGUGGCAUAGGUUUUUGUGACGUUUAAGGUAAGAAAAUGAUGAUUGACAAAUGAGAUGACACAUAAUGUAUUACUUUCUAUGAGAUGCUAUCCAUUUACUAUACUACCAUAUUAAAUUCAUAUUAAUAAAAUUAAAAACACUUGUGACCAUAAAAAGCUCUAUGUGUAUACAUGCAAUUACCGCUAUGAUUCGGUAUUUGAGACUUUAUAUGAUAUGAUUGACUAUUAAGAAUUAUUUAUAGACUAAAGUGCACAUAUACAAUACACUUUCAAUUAAUAUAACCCAAGUGGGAGAAUAUAAUUUUUUUUCCUAAUAUAGACUACAUUAGUUGAUAUUGUAAUUCUAUUUUACGGGGUUGGUUUAAGGUGAGAUAGGAUAUUUCGUAAUUAGUCUAAUAUAGGAUUGGCUAGUGUGAGCCGAGUUGAGUCCGGCCUGUAAUGAGAGAUCCUAACUAGAAACUUUAUAAAUAGUGUUCAAGUUUCUCCUCUAACCCUACCUCUCACAAUUAUCCUUACAAAAUGAGCAUUUACUUAGCAUUAAAGGGUAAAUGGGCCAUCUCAUUGAGCCAAUAAUACAGAGGGUAAUAGAGAAGAAUGAUUUGCACUUGAAUCGUCACUUUGCUGCUUCUGCACUAAGAGCAAUGAAUUCCAAAAUAUGUGCUUUAACAUUUCUACUCGAUUAUAUAUGUUCUUCUUCUAGCUAUGGAGAUUGUGGGAUUGCGUUUUUCGCAAUUGACAUCUCUCUCUCUCUCUCUCUCUCUCUCUCUCUCUCUCUCUCUCUCUCUCUCUCGGUUUGAAGUGUUUUCUCAAUUUUUUAACGUUCCAAUCCAAUAAGUGCAAAUGAUCUAAUUGGCAGUGAUGGAGCGUUAAUGUGAUGGUCCAUUUCAAUAUUUUCAUUUGUAAUUUGAGAAGUGUAUUAAAAGUCCUAAAACUUAUUAUAAAAAUGUAAUUGAGUCCUAAAACUUAAAAAAAUGUAAUUAAAUUCUAAAACUUCUCACGAAAGUAUAGUUGCGUCCUAAAACUUUUAAAAAGUGCAAAUCCAUGAAUAUCCCAUAAAAAAAAACCUUUUUAUUUUUAAUUAAUUCAAAUUCUAAAAUUUAUUAAGUUAGUGUAAUCAAGUGUAAUCAAGUCCUUCUAUUAACUCCAUCCAACUUGACAAAUGAAAAAUGCUAACAAAUUUUUGGACUUGAUUGUACCAACUUGACAAAUUUAAUGACUUAAUUAAACUUUUUGACAAUUUUAUGACUCAAUUACACUUAGUGAUAAGUUUUAUGAUUUAAUUGCAUUAUUGAAAAUUUCAAAACUUAAUUACAUUUUGUGACAAGUUUUAGGAUUUUCAAUACAUUAAUUCCUUGCAAUUUUAUAGAAGGACUAACUCGAGCCAUAAAACAUAUAAUUUGGGAACUGCAUUAGCAUAAAUAUAUAUAUGAAGAACCAACUAAAAAAGUUGAAAAGGUAAAUGGUUUAGUGGCGUCUUUAUUCCUAAAAUAUGGAAUUUCAUGUUUUUUUUUUUUUAAGGUUUGAGUUUGAAAUUGCCGUUGAAUGCUAAUUUGGGAUCCCACAUGGCAUUUCAAAAUUUUAAAAUAUAAAAAAAUGUAUAUUAAAGGGACAAAAAGAAUAAAAUAAGAAACAAAAUGAAAAAGCAAUAAAGGUCUUGUCGACACCACUUAUCGGAGGUCCCACCUUGCUGGUUUCAUCCCCCAAUUGCUAGUGAUACAACACCAGGAUUGCAUGACCUCAAUCGCUGGCCAGGAUCACACGCCCCCGACAAGAUCUAGCUUGGGUUCUCACUACCCCAACAAGUGGUGGCCUAGGGUCACACAACUCUUUGUCUUGCCCGGGCCACUUUCUUAUUUCCCCCUUAUCUCUCUAUUCCCCUCCAUAUAGUGGAGAAAACGGCAAUCAUGUUGUAAUCACAACAUGUGAGUGAGCACUAGGCAAACCUUAUGGGAGCCACCUGCCUCACCACCCCCCUCCCUCCCUCUCUCUCUCUCUCUCUCUCUCUCUCUCUCUCUCUCUCUCUCUCUCUCUCUCAGCAUCUUCUUUUCUAAGUGCAAAUGAUUCAAUCGGGUAACUAGUGAUCGUAUGUGUCAGCAAUUUCAUAUGCAAUUUUUAUAAUUCGACUAACAUGAGUUUAAAAAAAAACCAUAUUGAUUAGAGAUUGUUGGAGAAAACUUAUUUAUUUGUUUUGAAGUUGACAAAACGUUUCCAUCAGUCUAGUCUGAAAACUUGCAGACUCUUUCGUCAAAGUCUGAAGACCAUCAGACUCAAGAUUUAAAGUCUGCCCUCAUUGACAAUAUUUAGAUCGACGAAAAAGACUUAUCCAUAAUUGAGUAUUUCUUUAAGGAUUUGAUUCGAGCGGCUAAAGAAGUUCUCAUGGCUGGAGAUAGCAUUUCAAGAUCUAUUAUUCAUUUUGAAAUCAAUACAAGUAAAUUGGAUCCAUUGAUUGACAAAGUUUACUUGGAAGGUUCUACUUAUGGAAACCUAGAUCUUGAUUGUAUGGGCGAGUAGGAUUGGUGGGCUAUCUUCACGUUCCUUAAGUAACUCAAGAUCUUCCUAAUUGAUUCUAUCCAACAGGUAGAUUGGAAGAACUCCUUUGGAAUGUGCCAACGGUUAUGAAUGCAUGAAGGAGUAUACAAGGAAGACGCUUUAGUUAUUCAAGUGUGUGCGUGAUAGAAAAAUUUCAAAGUCUGAAGCUCUUUGUUCUUUGCUGAUUCAAUUGCUGAGCGUAAAUUUGUACUCAAAAGAGAGUUUUGAUACUUGUGAGACCUUGAGAAAGUAUAGCAGAGUCUUUACACUAUGGAAUUAAGGACGUAAUACUGUAACGACUCUUUUGAUUCAUAGUGAAAUCCAGCCGGUGGGCUGUCAAUGCGGGAGAGUGGACGUAGGUUUGGAUUAAGCCAAACCACUAUAAAUCUUGUGUUUUUAUUCUCUUCCCUAAACUAUUUAAUUUUGCUCGCAACUCUAUUUAAUUGUUAGAGUCUAAUUUUUUCUAUCAACCACAUUCAGGUUAAAAGUAAAGUUUUAUACUAUAUUAUGCAAAAGUUGUUUGUGUACCUAUUCACCUCCCUCUAGGUGUUCGUACUAGCUCUCUUAAUUAGUAUCAAAGCCUAUGUACUCAUUUAAAUUGAAGUGUUUUUACUUCAGAGUCAAAAAUUCAUGGCUAGUAUGUUGACUCUAGGUUUGGUUGAAGGGCAAAGCAACACCAGACCGCCUUAUUUUGAUGGAAAGGAAUACAGUAUAUGGAAAAACAAGAUGAAAGUAUUCCUAAGAUCAAAAGGUCAUAUGGAAUGGGAUGUGGUAGACAAAGAAAUCAUUCCUAAAGCUACAAUAGUCUCAGAAAGGGGAAAAGAAGCUGUUGAGGCUAGCGAGAUGACUCAAGAAGAGAUAACUAAGAGACAAGCUCUUGAUGCAAAAUCAAUUUAUUCAUUAUAUUGUGCAUUAUCUCCUACUGAAUAUAACAGAAUAUCUUUUUGUGAAACAGCUAAAAAAGUUUGGGAUAGGCUGCACAUUACGUAUGAAUGGACUGAUCGAGUGAAAGAAACCAGAAUCAAUAUUCUGCUCGGUCAAUAUGAAGCCUUCAAAAUGAAGCCAGGAGAAUCUAUCAUUGAUAUGUUUAGUUGUUUUACAGAAAUUGUGAAUGGUAUUGAGUAUCAAGGUCAACCAAUUUCAGGACUCAUGAAGGUUAACAAAUUGUUACGUGGACUUUCCAAAGAUUGGAAUCACGUAAAGACAUCAAUAAGGGAGACACAAAGGAUCAUGCCACUCUUCAUUGACGAAUUGGUAGGCACUCUUCAGUCUUAUGAAGUGGAGCAAAUCGAUGAAGAUCCCAAAGGUAAAAAAUCUAUUGCUUUAAAAUCUAAUGAUGAUUCUGAUGUUACAAAUUCUGAAAAUGAUAUGGACGAUAAAGAGCUUGCUCUUAUGAUAAGAAGGUUCAGAAAAUUGAACAAAAAGGGAAGAAUAUUCAAUUGGAAGAAACAAAGCUUUCAAAAGUUUCAAAAUAAAUUAGCCGAGGACGAUGAAUCCAAUAAAGAUGUGAUUUGUUUUGAAUGCAAGAAAAAAGGGACACAUCAGACACAACUGUCCCUUGUUGAAGAAAAAGAAAGGAAAAUGUGAGAAAUACAAAAAGGCACUUAAAGUAGAGACUUGGAGUGAUAUCGAAUGCGAAGAAAAUAAUGAUAAUUAUGCUAAUAUUUGUUUAAUGGCAAAAUCAGAAUCAGAUUCAGACUCUAAGACAUAUGCAAACUCAGACUCAGACAGUGAAAUAGAGGGAAGUAAUUUAAAAAUUCCUACUAAAGUCUCUAAAUACAUUGAUGAACUGUCUCUUAGUUUCAAAACCUCUCUUAGAGCUAAAAAGGGAAAAUUCUACACUGAAACAACAAGAGAAUGUUUGGAAAGAAAAGUUAGAAAAUCUAGAUAAAAGUUUUAUUACUUUGAAAGAAAAUGCAGACUCUCUUUUAAAAGAAAAUACACUUUUGAAAAAUGAUAUUUCAAGUAUCUCAAAAAGGUUUUCUAUAGGAUUUGAGAAAUUGGAAAAGAUUAUUUCAGCACGAAGACCUUACUUUAACAAAUCAAACUUGGGAAUGACUUAUGAAAUCAUUCCUCUAAUUGAUUUUCCAAAAGUAAAGAAAAGAAUCAAACAAAGACCUACAAAGGGCUUCUAUAGAAAUCAUUUUCAAAAAGUCUUUGUAAAACCUGUUAACCGUAGUGCUUUUAAAUGUUCUAAAUACAACAGCUCAGAACACUUUGAGAAAGAAUGUCAUAUGGUUUGGAAACCUGUUAAGAAGGAUUGGGAGAAGACCCUAUAUUGCACUAACUCCAUUGGACCUAAGAAAGUGUGGGUACCAAAGAAAGCUUGAGUUUCUUUUUUAAAUGCAGGUCAUUAUCAAGAAAAAGGUCAAAUGGUACUUAGACAGUGGAUGCUCAAGACAUAUGAUAUAAGAUUCAAGUUGUUUCAUAAAACUUAUGCAAGUUAAUGGUGGAAAAGUUUCCUUUGGUGGAAAUAGCAAAUGAAGAAUUGUCGGAUGCAGAACAGUAAAGAUUGGAAGUCUCAUAAUCAACAACAUCUCUUUAGUAGAAUGACUUAAUUACAACUUAUUGAGUAUCAAUCAACUGUGCGACACAGGGUUCAAAAUCAAUUUUCAAGAAGGAAUAUGUUCGGGAACCAGUAAAGACUUCUCUCAGACCUUCACUGUACAAAGACAUGGGAACAUCUAUUUUUUGGAUAUCAAACCAGAAAAAUCUCAAUGUCUAAUUUCAAUUCAAGAUGAAGCUAAUAUAUGGCAUCGAAAACUUGGCCAUAUCAACAUGAAGCAAAUUGCCAAGAUCUCUUCAAAGAAGCUUGUUCGUGGACUACCCAACCUGACAUACCAAAAAUUUGAAUUAUGCACACCAUGUGUGCUGGGAAAACAUGUUAGAAGUUCUUUCAAACCAAUAAAUCAAGUUUCCACUAAUCGUGUGCUACAAUUCCUACAUAUAGAUCUCUUUGGACCAACUAGAACUUAGAGCAUUGCUGGAAAGAAAUAUUGCUUAGUAAUAGCGGAUGAUUAUUCACGAUUUACUUGGGUAUACUUCCCGGCAAGUAAGUCUGAAACUUUUUUUUAUUUUAUAAAUUUUGCUAAGAAAGUACAGAAUGAGAAAUGAUAUGUUAUUUCGAGUAUACGAACAGACCAUGAAGGUGAGUUUGAAAAUCAAGACUUUGCCAAAUUCUGUAAUGAAUCUGGUUUUCAGCAUAUGUUCUCCUCUCUAUACACUUUAGAACAGAAUGGAGUUGUGGAAAUGAAGAAUAGAUUGUUGCAAGAAAUGACUAGAACACUUUUAAUUGAAAGCAACAUUUCUUCACGUUUUUGGGCUAAAGCAAUUUCUACAGCAUGCUAUAUCAUUAACAGAGUUUUCUUAAGGCCAAUUCUGGAGAAAACUCCCUAUGAGUUGUUCAAAGGAAAGAAGUCAAUUGUUUCCUAUUUUCAUAUGUUUGGUUGCAAUUGUUUUAUAUUGAAAAAUGCAAAUGAUCGAAUUGGUAAAUUUGAAGAAAAGUCAGACGAAAGAAUUUUCCUUGGAUAUUCAACCACCAACAAAGCUUACAGAGUAUACAACAAAAAGACUCAAUCUGUGGAAUGAUCGAUAAAUGUCAAAUUUCAAGACUUUAUACAAAAUCAAUCGAUCCAGACUCAACCUGAAGAAUCUGAACCUCCUCCAGACUCUACAAAGUCAAAUUCUUCAGAAGCAGCUUAGACUUCAGAAUGUCAACAAUGAAUGAACGUUGAAGAAUCAAAUGAAGAAAAAGAUCAGCAGUUUGUCAGACCAACCAGCAACUAGAAGCACAAGUCCAGUCAUCCCAAAGAACUCAUUAUUGGAGACAUUGAUGAAGGGAUUCGUAUAAGAUCCAAAAGGCAUGAAGAGUCUAGCACAGUGGCUCUUAAUUUUGAAUUAGAACCCAAAAGCAUAGAAGAAGCUUUAACUGAUGAAAGCUAGAUUGAAGCUAUGUAAGAAGAACUCAGGCAGUUCAGUAUUAACGAUGUCUGGGAAUUGACUCCUAAACCAAAAGGUAAAUCUGUUAUUAGAGCUAAAUGGGUUUUCAGAAACAAGAUGGACGAGAAAAGAAAAGUUAUAAGGAACAAAGCAAGACUCGUAGUCAAAUGAUAUACGCAAGAAGAAGGGAUAGACCAUGAUGAGACUUACGCUCCAGUAGCAAUGUUAGAAGCAAUUAGAUUAUUACUUGCUUUUGCUUAUUAUAAUAAUUUCAAGUUAUUCCAAAUGAACGUCAAAAGUGCAUUCCUGAAUGGAUUUAUAUGUAGAACAACCUCCCAGUUUCGAAGAUCCAAGGAAACCAGACUCUGUAUUCAGAUUGAAAAAUGCGCUAUAUGAUUUAAAGCAAGCACCUCAAGCUUGGUACGAAAAGUUAAGUAAGUUUAUAAUCCAAAAUGGCUUUAUUAAAGGUAAAGUAGACACUACUUUGUUUAUCAAAAGAGAAAAUAAAAACUUUCUACUUGUUUAAAUCUAUGUUGAUGAUAUUAUUUUUAGAUCACCUAACAAGAAUCUGUGCAAGAAAUUCUCUAAGUCUAUGUAGAAUGAAUUCGAAAUGAGCAUGAUGGGUGAACUAUCCUUCUUUCUCGGACUACAAGUAAAACAAUUGAAGGAAGGGACUUUCAUUCACCAAGAUUUUGAUACUUGUGAGACCUUGAGAAAGUGUAGCAGAGUCUCUACACUGUGGAAUCAAGGACGUAAUACUGCAACAACUCUUUUAAUUCAUAGUGAAAUCCAACCGGUGAGUUGUCAAUGUGGGAGAGUGGACGUAGGCCUGGAUUAAGCCAAACCACUAUAAACCUUGUGUUUUUAUUCUCUUCCCUAAACUCUUUAAUUUUGCUCGCAACUCUAUUUAAUUGUUAGAGUCUAAUUUUCUCUAUCAACCACACUCAGGUUAAAAGUAAAGUUUUAUACUAUAUUCUGUAAAAGUUGUUUGUGCACCUAUUCGCCCUCUGUAGGUGCUCGUACUAGCUCUCUCAGAGACCACCUUAGAUACACACACACACACACACACACACACACACACACACACACACACACAUAUAUAUAUAUAUAUAUAUAUAUAUAUGUAUGUAUGUAUGUAUGUAUGUAUAUCGAAAUUGAACAAAUUGAAAAAGUAUAUGCUUGAGUGGUAUCUUUAUCCCUAAAAUAUAGAAUUUGAUAGAGGAUCAAGGUUAAAUAUCUUCAAUUGGAAUAAUCGGUUUGCAUUCUAUAUAGUCAAGUAGAGGUUAUGAAUGAAAUGAGACUUUCAGACUAUAAUCAUUAUAGAAAAAGUCUUUGUAGCUAGUAUUUAAUGUAGAUUAUAUUUGUGUUGACACCCAAAAGUAACUCAAGACCUAACAGGAGGCAUGUCAUUAAGUUGUGGAUUGGAUAGUCAGGUGUUGUGAUUGUAGAUCAAUGAGUAGCCCAUGCAAGAUCAACGUCACAUGACUUAUAAUGCCACUAAUGAAGAGUAAUGACUAAAGCAGUUAUCGACAUAUGAUAAUAGGCAAUCAACCACCCAAAGGAGGAAGUCGAAUGGAGAGAAAUCCCCAAGAUUUUAACUACUAUUGAAUAAAAAAGUGCAUCUAGAGAUCGUGAGAGCAAAGCCUAGAAUCUUGAGAGUAGUUGGGUUUGAGAUUUGAAAUUUAACUGCAUGUAUAUAAAACACAUUAUAACACGCAUUUAAGUAAUGUGGAAUUAUACUCCAACCAUAUUAAGUUGUGGUCAUAGAUCUAUGCAUGAAGGACGAGGGUGUAAUUAUAUUGCCUGCCAUGCUCUAAUGAUGUACCUUGAUUUUUGGUUUUUCUUGUUUGUUUUGGAGCUUUACGACUUGCCUUUUUAUGGUGAAUUUAAGGAUUUCAUAUGGAUCUUUUCAUGUAUCAUUUUGGUAAUAAAUAGAAAUUUCUUUAACAUAAGAAAAAAAAGUAAUGGUAGAGUUUCUAGUUACUCUUAUCUCUUUAGUUGUACAAUGCUUGUCUUCUCUUUAAGCUGCUUGGAAUAGAGUAUGGAGGGGAAAAGUGUUAAAAAAAUCAUAAAUUUAUUGUGUUUGUGCCAAUUUAGUCCUAAACAUUUUUUUGGUGCCAAUUUAGUUCUAAACAUUUUUACUUAAUGCCGAUUCAGUCAUUUCAGGUCAAUUUUGGUUGGAUUUUGCUGACUAGAUGCCGGCCGGUUGAUAUGGUCUGAUCGGUGCUAACGUGUACAAUUUUUAAUAAUAUUUUAAUAUUUUAGAAUUUUUAUUUUAUUUAUUUUAUUUUUAUUUUUUCCUUCCCCUCCUCCAACUGGUUGCGGGACCUCGCUGGCCACCUCACCAUUGGUUGCGAGGGUGGCCAUGCGUUGGGCAGCGAGGCUCGCUCUCGUUGGAUCUGGCGGGCGAGGGCGAGGGCGAGCCUCGCCAACGCCCCCCAAGCUGCGAGGGCGAUCUAGCACUGGGCUGGCGAGGCUUGACCCUUGUCGAAUCGCGGCCUGGGCGACGCUGGCGAGGCUCGACCCUUGCUAGAUCUAGCGAGGGCGAGCCUUGCCGCCCAGUGUGAGGCCUCCCUUGCGACCACUAGCGAGGUGGCCAGCGAUGUUCGGUGAGGUCGACCUUGCCGGCCGUUGCCUGUGGCCGGUCGCUAAGGUCCGACGACCGGCUGGAGAAAGGGAAGGAAAAAUAAAAAAUAAAAAAAUAAACAACUUUUAAAAAUAUUAAAAUAUUAUUAAAAAUUGUCCACGUCAGUACCGAUCAGGUCGCGUCAGCUGGCUGGCGUCCAGUUAGCAAAAUUUAGUCAAAAUUAGCCGAAAAUAACUGAAUUGGCAUUAAGUAAAAACGUUUAGGACUAAAUUGGCGCAAAAAAAAAGAUUUGUGACUAAAUUGACACAAAUACAAAAAGUUUAUGACUUUUUAAACACUUUUCCCGAGUAUGGGGUAUAGGUACUUUGGGAAUACAACGCUCCUACCAUGUUAAGAUUGUGCAUUGAAAACUAUAUAAAAAUUUCGAUUAAUCUCUCAACGGACGACUAGGAUGAAUCUUCAAUGGGAAUUUAUUUCCUCUCUAUUUUUAAUAGGACUCUUGAGAUCAACAUGCACUAUCCUUGUAUCAAUGGCAAGUCUCCACAAUCUCAGAGAGGAUCUUCACUCCUGCCACGAGUCCGAAGGAACGUUUGGGGAUGUAUUCGAAUUCAGCAUUAUAAGCACGAGAUGGAAGCAACAUCGCCAUCCCUCUGGGGCAUCGAAAAUUUUCUCAAGGCCCACUUGCUCGAGCAAAACUAAACCUAGGAAUGGCUUCCACCCGUCUCUCAUUUGUAGACUAUUCUUCCUCUCACCGAGAGCCCAAUGCAAACAUUCACUGUUUGAAUGAAUGAACAUGACUCUCUAGUACAAAUUUGAGGUGAUUGGCUAAAGGGUGAGUGAUUUUUACAAGGAAACUAGAAACUACCUUCUUAAAACCGCUUUCCAAUCUUUGGAAUCCAAAUUUUAGAACCUGAAAUUUAUUCUGUUUGUCUUGAAACCAAUCCUAAAACCUAUUCUGGUUUGCCAGCUAAUUUUCUUUUAUACCUUUUGUUGGUUCCAUAUUUUACAGCGAAAUAAUAUGGACAACAAAAAAUUUCCAAGUAAAAGAUGAACGGGGCAAGCGAGCGAAGGUGAAUCUAAACGAAUGAGGGUUAUGAGGCUCGAAUGAGUGAUGGCCAGCGACCAACGUUGAGGGUGAGUUGCAAGCGAAAGAGAGGGAGAGAAGUGAAGUAUGAGUGAGGUUGGAGAGAAAUGGAGAAAAAGAUAAAUAGAAAAAAAGAAAAAAAAAAGCCAAGAGAAAUUAGGCUUUAUAAGCUUUAUGUAAUUGAUUUCAAAUUCAAUUCGGUAUCCAGAUGCUUCUUUACUCAUAAUCGGGAAUCGGACCACUCGGGAAUAGGAUUGAUUUUCGAGCAAUUUGAUAUAGGUCUCGAGCAGAUCCGAUCCAAUUGCAUAGCCCUGUACGAACUGUUUUAAUGCGGUGUACAAACUGCUUUAAAGCAGCAGUUUGGUUGCUCUGACCGAUUAAAGAGCUAAUAAUAGAGGGGAGGACAGGACUCCUGACGCAGGUGAGACAAAGGCGAAUACAGGACCUUGAAAGGAGGUUCUUUCAAGACGAUGGCUUCGCGUCGUCCGAAGGGUUUUGAACCGCCCAAGUCUCCUCAUUUUUUCAAGAUCAUACUCUCCUCCGGGAAGCUUGUCAGCAUGCCCUCUCUCUCUCCCCUACUGAUUCUUGAUUUUCGUUUUUAUUCUUCUUUGCCCGCUAGUUGUUCGAUUUAUUUCUUGACUGGGAAAGGUACUACUUUCUGGCUAAUUGUGUGACUGAGUUGACAGUUGUAUGUGACCAAGCGAGCAAAAUAUAUUCACACAAGGUGUUUUUCUUUGGGUCGAAAUGCAAGGUGUUUCACUUGCAGGAAAAUUGUUCUGUUCUUCAGUGUCUAGUCUCUGAACUAGUCCUUGGAUCGAAGCCCGCAUGACUUUGACCCAUUAGAAUGUGUUCCUGGAUUUGUUUUCCUUUUUCCUAAUUAUCUUGAAUAUUGCUCAGGAAAUGACAUUAAUUUACCAGAACCAGUGUUCAAUUGAGAAGAAUUUUCUUCUGAAGGAGAAUAGAAUUCAUGCUAUUCCUUGCUUAUAUGCAAAUCAUAUAGUGAAGCUUCUUCUAUGUGGUUGUGAAUUUGAGCAAAAAUAUAGGACUGGAAUAUGGAGGUAUCUCAGUAUUUCUUUCUAAUUCCUUUCCUAGAAUAAUACUGGUAUGCAAGCCUUUUGCGCGACUUAUUCCCCGGAUGCAGGCAAUCCGAGUUACUCUAAUUGGGUGAUGUAGGUACUUCUUAUCACAAUCUAAUUCCCUUGAGUUACGCUGAGAAUUACUGAACCGGUAAUUGUAUUUGUAUGUCUGAUACGAAAAGUUGCUAAUGGAGUUGUAGAUAUUUUUGCGGGGAGCCCGAAAAGAAGUUUUAAAACUUACUUGUUCACUACCUGAAUCCCAAAAUUUCUGGUGAGAAUGUUGACUAAUUUGUGGUUCACUAUACUAUGGACUCACUUGAUCGCAAUUCCUUAUUGUUGAAGUAUGUGCACGUGCUUUCGCUAUGCUAUGGAGUCUCCACGCUUUGGACAAGAACCUUAAGAUCUUAAAUUUAAGUGAAAAAAAUGAUUUAAUUAUAUAUUGAAUCUGCUUUUCUUUCUUUUUCUCAAUAGGAGAUACCAAAGAGGUUUCUGCAGAGACAUGGUAAUGACAUCCCUGGCUCAGUGUUUCUCAAGGUUCCAAGCAGUACAAUACUUUGGCCAGUGGAGAUGGAGUGGAGUGAUGGCAUGGCUCGCCUUGGCCAAGGCUGGCAGAAGUUCACAGACUAUUACUCCAUUGGUUUUGGCCAAUUACUAGUUU
RNAcentral lists this long non-coding RNA (16816 nucleotides) under Eucalyptus grandis. RNAcentral's name for it is "long non-coding RNA (EGRA_LNC005450)". Lineage: Eukaryota; Viridiplantae; Streptophyta; Magnoliopsida; Myrtales; Myrtaceae. The record is from RNAcentral.